CCAUACCAUCAGGACGAGACGGGUAGCCGGCCUGAGAGGGCGACCGGCCACACUGGGACUGAGACACGGCCCAGACUCCUACGGGAGGCAGCAGUGGGGAAUAUUGCACAAUGGGCGAAAGCCUGAUGCAGCGACGCCGCGUGAGGGAUGACGGCCUUCGGGUUGUAAACCUCUUUCAGCAGGGAAGAAGCGAGAGUGACGGUACCUGCAGAAGAAGCGCCGGCUAACUACGUGCCAGCAGCCGCGGUAAUACGUAGGGCGCAAGCGUUGUCCGGAAUUAUUGGGCGUAAAGAGCUCGUAGGCGGCUUGUCACGUCGGAUGUGAAAGCCCGGGGCUUAACCCCGGGUCUGCAUUCGAUACGGGCUAGCUAGAGUGUGGUAGGGGAGAUCGGAAUUCCUGGUGUAGCGGUGAAAUGCGCAGAUAUCAGGAGGAACACCGGUGGCGAAGGCGGAUCUCUGGGCCAUUACUGACGCUGAGGAGCGAAAGCGUGGGGAGCGAACAGGAUUAGAUACCCUGGUAGUCCACGCCGUAAACGUUGGGAACUAGGUGUUGGCGACAUUCCACGUCGUCGGGUGCCGCAGCUAACGCAUUAAGUUCCCCGCCUGGGGAGUACGGGA
RNAcentral lists this ribosomal RNA (617 nucleotides) under Streptomyces sp. RNAcentral describes it as "bacterial SSU rRNA". It matches the Rfam family "Bacterial small subunit ribosomal RNA", at positions 260 to 887 of the family's 1533-position model. Lineage: Bacteria; Bacillati; Actinomycetota; Actinomycetes; Kitasatosporales; Streptomycetaceae. The record is from RNAcentral.